GACGAACGCUGGCGGCGUGCCUAAUACAUGCAAGUCGAACGGUCUUUUCUAUGGAAGCUUGCUUCCACUGAGAAGAUAGUGGCGAACGGGUGAGUAACACGUGGGUAACCUGCCCUUCAGAGGGGGACAACAGCUGGAAACGGUUGCUAAUACCCCAUAAGCCGAGAGGUAAAAGGAGUAAUCCGCUGAGGGAGGGGCUCAUGUCCUAUCAGCUAGUUGGUAAGGUAACGGCUUACCAAGGCGAAGACGGGUAGCCCGACCUGAGAGGGU
This 270-nucleotide ribosomal RNA is filed under the name uncultured bacterium. RNAcentral describes it as "partial 16S ribosomal RNA". It matches the Rfam family "Bacterial small subunit ribosomal RNA", at positions 28 to 301 of the family's 1533-position model. The record is from RNAcentral.